RNAcentral lists this ribosomal RNA (394 nucleotides) under uncultured gregarine. RNAcentral's name for it is "partial small subunit ribosomal RNA". It matches the Rfam family "Eukaryotic small subunit ribosomal RNA", at positions 30 to 432 of the family's 1831-position model. Lineage: Eukaryota; Apicomplexa; Conoidasida. The record is from RNAcentral.
GCUUGUCUCAAAGAUUAAGCCAUGCAAGUCUAAGUAUAAGCUAAAUUAUACGGCAAAACUGCGAAUAGCUCAUUACAACAGUUGUAAUCUACACGACGAUCAUUACCAUAUGGAUAUCCAUGGUAAUUCUGGAGCUAAUACAUGCUAAAACACCCGACUUUUCGGAAGGGUGGCAUUCAUUAGUGACUCAGAACCAAUCACGCUUGCGUGUUUCUGGUGAUCAUAAUGACGGAGCGGAUCGCAUUUAUGCGACAGUUCGUUCGAGCUUCUGACCUAUCAGCUCCCGUCGGUAGGGUAUUGGCCUACCGAGGCUGUGACGGGUAACGGGGAAUUAGGGUUCGAUUCCGGAGAGGGAGCCUGAGAAACGGCUACCACAUCUAAGGAAGGCAGCAGG